This 74-nucleotide transfer RNA is filed under the name bacterium. Its description in RNAcentral is "tRNA-Val". It matches the Rfam family "tRNA". From Rfam's summary of the family: Transfer RNA (tRNA) molecules are approximately 80 nucleotides in length. RNAcentral also lists the same sequence under 2 other names. The record is from RNAcentral.
GGGCGGAUAGCUCAGAUGGUAAGAGCGCCUGCCUUACAAGCAGGAGGUCGGUGGUUCAAAUCCACUUCCGCCCA